UGGGAAUGUCAACAUGCUCAACAGAGGACAUCCCAGAAAAAUCAGGCAUUUCUUCAUCCUGGUAGGGAGCAGCAUCCUCAGCAACAUUUUGAGAAGCAUUGUCUGAGACAGUAGGUGCAACAGCAUUUUCAGGAACAUGUGCAGCAACAUCUUCGGAAACAGGAUGUUGAGAGGAAAUUGCUGCCAUGUUGGACUGAAAUGUCUCCCCCUGAGUUGAUGCUGGUGGAGAUGAGUCUUGUAGAGCUUGAGGAGAGAGCUUGGGCUUGGUUCUGCAAAAGUAGGAUCUCCUUCUUCGUCAUCAGUUUCUUCAUCAACCAAAUGAAGGCCUCUUGGUGGGUUUGGCCUAACUGGAGUGCGACCGACUCUGUCGCUUCUUCUUCCACCUCUGCC
Molecule: long non-coding RNA, 390 nt
Filed under: Erythranthe guttata (spotted monkey flower)
Lineage: Eukaryota; Viridiplantae; Streptophyta; Magnoliopsida; Lamiales; Phrymaceae
Description: long non-coding RNA (EGUT_LNC001256)
Source: RNAcentral